UGUUGCGGUGAAUACGUUCCCGGGUCUUGUACACACCGCCCGUCAAACCAUGAAAGUGACCAACACCCGAAGUCCGAUUCGUCGGCCUAAGGUGGGGGGCAUGAUUGGGUU
Molecule: ribosomal RNA, 111 nt
Filed under: uncultured bacterium
Lineage: Bacteria
Description: partial 16S ribosomal RNA
Rfam family: Bacterial small subunit ribosomal RNA
Source: RNAcentral